This 3104-nucleotide long non-coding RNA is filed under the name Brassica rapa (field mustard). RNAcentral describes it as "long non-coding RNA (BRAP_LNC003962)". The record is from RNAcentral. Lineage: Eukaryota; Viridiplantae; Streptophyta; Magnoliopsida; Brassicales; Brassicaceae.
AACGGAGACAACAAAGGUUCCAAACGUCUUUGAACUUCAUCAUAUUUUAUUACAUGAUUCAAAUAUGUAUUAAAACAGUAUUUUCAAUUUUUUUGUUUUUUUUUCAAAAUCUAUGUGUUAACCCCUACGAAAAGAGUGAGUUUUCGGUAAAUGCUCUAUAUAUGAAGCCUAUAAUCUUUAAAUUUGUUUUAAAAUUUAAAACCACAUUAUACCUUUGUAUUAAUGUCUGAUAAACUUCUUUUCAUGGUACAUGGACAUCGUUCUAAUUUUUUAUCCAUUAAUUUAGCAAAACUGCAAAUACUCCCUAAAUCAUUAGACUAACCACUAUAAAAUUGCUAUUCCUUAGAGAAACGAAGACAACAAAGGUUCCAAACCUCUUUGAACUUCAUCAUAUUUUAUUACAUGAUUCAAAUAUGUAUUAAAACAGUAUUGUCAAAUUUUUUGAAUUUUUCUCAAAAUCUAUGUGUACCCCCCUACAAAAAUAGUGAGUUUUCGGUAAAUACUCAAUAUAUGAAGCCUAUAAUUUUUAAAUUUGUUUUAAAAUUUAAAACCACAUUAUACCUUUGUAUUAAUGUAUGAUAAACUUCUUUUCAUGGUACAUGGACAUCGUUCUAAUUUUUUAUCCAUUAAUUUAGUAAAACUGCAAAUACUCCCUAAAUCAUUAGACUAACCACUAUAAAAUUGCCAUUCCUUAGAGAAACGGAGACAACAAAGGUUCCAAACGUCUUUGAACUUCAUCAUAUUUUAUUACAUGAUUCAACUAUGCAUUAAAACAGUAUUUUCAAUUUUUUUGAUUUUUUUUCAAAAUAUAUGUGUUAACCCCUACGAAAAGAGUGAGUUUUCGGUAAAUGCUCUAUAUAUGAAGCCUAUAAUCUUUAAAUUUGUUUUAAAAUUUAAAACCACAUUAUACCUUUGUAUUAAUGUAUGAUAAACUUCUUUUCAUGGUACAUGGACAUCGUUCUAAUUUUUUAUCCAUUAAUUUAGCAAAACUGCAAAUACUCCCUAAAUCAUUAGACUAACCACUAUAAAAUUGUCAUUCCUUAGAGAAACGGAGACAAAAAAAGUUCCAAACGUCUUUGAACUUCAUCAUAUUUUAUUACAUGAUUCAAAUAUGUAUUAAAACAGUAUUUUCAAUUUUUUUGAUUUUUUUUCAAAAUCUAUGUGUUAACCCCUACGAAAAGAGUGAGUUUUCGGUAAAUGCUCUAUAUAUGAAGCCUAUAAUCUUUAAAUUUUUUUUAAAAUUUAAAACCACAUUAUACCUUUGUAUUAAUGUAUGAUAAACUUCUUUUCAUGGUACAUGGACAUCGUUCUAAUUUUUUAUCCAUUAAUUUAGUAAAACUGCAAAUACUCCCUAAAUCAUUAGACUAACCACUAUAAAAUUGUCAUUCCUUAGAGAAACGGAGACAACAAAAGUUCCAAACGUCUUUGAACUUCAUCAUAUUUUAUUACAUGAUUCAAAUAUGUAUUAAAACAGAAUUUUCAAUUUUUUUGAUUUUUUUUUCAAAAUCUAUGUGUUAACCCCUACGAAAAUAGUGAGUUUUCGUUAAAUACUCUAUAUAUGAAGCCUAUAAUAUUUAAAUUUGUUUUAAAAUUUAAAACCACAUUAUACCUUUGUAUUAAUGUCUGAUAAACUUUUUUUCAUGGUACAUGGACAUCGUUCUAAUGUUUUAUCCAUUAAUUUAGCAAAACUGAAAAUACUCCCUAAAUCAUUAGACUAACAACUAUAAAAUUGCUAUUCCCUAGAGAAACGGAGACAACAAAGGUUCCAAACCUCUUUGAACUUCAUCAUAUAUUAUUACAUGAUUCAUAUAUGUAUUAAAACAGUAUUGUCAAAUUUGUUGAAUUUUUCUCAAAAUCUAUGUGUACCCCUACGAAAAUAGUGAGUUUUCGGUAAAUGCUCUAUAUAUGAAGCCUAUAAUCCUUAAAUUUGUUUUAAAAUUUAAAACCACAUUAUACCUUUGUCUUAACGUAUGAUGAACUUCUUUUCAUGGUACAUGGACAUAGUUUUAAUUUUUUAUCCAUUAAUUUAGCAAAACUGCAAAUACUCCCUAAAUCAUUAGACUAACCACUAUAAAAUUGCUAUUCCCUAGAGAAACGGAGACAACAAAGGUUCCAAAUCUCUUUGAACUUCAUCAUAUAUUAUUACAUGAUUCAUAUAUAUAUUAAAACAGUAUUGUCAAAUUUUUUGAAUUUUUCUCAAAAUCUGUGUGUACCCCCCUACGAAAAUAGUGAGGUUUCGUUAAUGCUCUAUAUAUGAAGCUUAUAAUCUUUAAAUUUGUUUUAAAAUUUAAAACCACAUUAUUCCUUUGUAUUAAUAUCUGAUAAACUUCUUUUCAUGGUACAUGGACAUCGUUCUAAUUUUUUACCAAUUAAUUUAGCAAAACUGCAAAUACUCCCUAAAUCAUUGGACUAAUCACUAUAAAAUUGCUAUUCCCUAGAAAAACGGAGACAACAAAGGUUCCAAACCUCUUUGAAAUUCAUCAUAUGUUAUUACAUGAUUCAACUAUGCAUUAAAACAGUAUUGUCAAUUUUUUUGAAUUUUUCUCAAAAUUUAUGUGUACCCCCCUACGAAAAUAGUGAGUUUUCGGUAAAUGCUCUAUAUAUGGAGCCUAUAAUCUUUAAAUUUGUUGUAAACUUUAAAACCACAUUAUACCUUUGUCUUCACGUAUGAUAAACUUCUUUUCAUGGUACAUGGACAUAGUUCUAAUUUUUUAUCCAUUAAUUUAGCAAAACUGCAAAUACUCCCUAAAUCAUUAGACUAACCACUAUAAAAUUGUUAUUCCUUAGAGAAACGGAGACAACAAAGGUUCCAAACGUCUUUGAACUUCAUCAUAUUUUAUUACAUGAUUCAAAUAUGUAUUAAAACAGUAUUUUCAAUUUUUUUGAUUUUUUUUCAAAAUCUAUGUGUUAACCCCUACGAAAAGAGUGAGUUUUCGGUAAAUGCUAUAUAUAUGAAGCCUAUAAUCCUUAAUUUUGUUUUAAAAUUUAAAACCACAUUAUACCUUUGUAUUAAUGUCUGAUAAACUUCUUUUCAUGGUACAUGGACAUCGUUCUAAUUUUUUAUCCAUUAAUUUAGCAAAACUGCAAAUACUCCCUAAAUCAUU